AUGCCCCCCUUCGAAGAAGAGGGGGUAUAUUGCUUUGCUCAUGUCGGUCUGUCGGUCUGUCGGUCGGUCGGUCUGUCUUUCGGUCGGUCCGUCCACCAGGUGGUUGUCAGACGAUAACUCAAGAACGCUUGGGCCUAGGAUCAUGAAACUUCAUAGGUACAUUGACCAUGACUCGCAGAUGACCCCUAUUGAUUUUGAGGUCACUAGGUCAAAGGUCAAGGUCACGGUGACCCGAAAUAGUAAAAUGGUUUCUGGAUGAUAACUCAAGAAUGCAUACGCCUAGGAUCAUGAAACUUCAUGGGUAGAUUGAUCAUAACUAGCAGAUGACCCCUAUAGAUUUUGAGGUCACUAGGUCAAAGGUCAAGGUCACGGUGAC
Dreissena polymorpha is the source of this 376-nucleotide long non-coding RNA. RefSeq lists it as uncharacterized. Lineage: Eukaryota; Metazoa; Mollusca; Bivalvia; Myida; Dreissenidae. The transcript has 2 exons. The record is from RefSeq and is a predicted model, not a curated record.